AGUAGCCGCGGUAAUACGAGGGGGGCAAGCGUUGUUCGGAUUUAUUGGGCGUAAAGGGUGCGUAGGCGGUUUGGCAAGUCUUAUGUGAAAUCUUCGGGCUCAACCCGAAGCCUGCAUGAGAAACUACCGGGCUUGAGUAUGGGAGAGGUGAGUGGAAUUUCCGGUGUAGCGGUGAGAUGCGUAGAUAUCGGAAGGAACACCUGUGGCGAAAGCGGCUCACUGGACCAUAACUGACGCUGAAGCACGAAAGCUAGGGGAGCAAACAGGAUUAGAUACCCGCGUAGUCCCUGUCUCUUAUACA
RNAcentral lists this ribosomal RNA (301 nucleotides) under uncultured bacterium. RNAcentral's name for it is "partial 16S ribosomal RNA". It matches the Rfam family "Bacterial small subunit ribosomal RNA", at positions 510 to 808 of the family's 1533-position model. The record is from RNAcentral.